AACGACCUACGGGGGGCAGCAGUGGGGGAUAUUGCACAAUGAGGGAAACCCUGAUGCAGCGACGCCGCGUGAGCGAUGAAGUAUUUCGGUAUGUAAAGCUCUAUCAGCAGGGAAGAAAAUGACGGUACCUGACUAAGAAGCCCCGGCUAACUACGUGCCAGCAGCCGCGGUAAUACGUAGGGGGCAAGCGUUAUCCGGAUUUACUGGGUGUAAAGGGAGCGUAGACGGCAGCGCAAGUCUGGAGUGAAAUGCCGGGGCCCAACCCCGGAGCUGCUUUGGAAACUGUGCAGCUCGAGUGCAGGAGG
This 305-nucleotide ribosomal RNA is filed under the name uncultured bacterium. RNAcentral describes it as "bacterial SSU rRNA". It matches the Rfam family "Bacterial small subunit ribosomal RNA", at positions 334 to 655 of the family's 1533-position model. The record is from RNAcentral.